AACGAACGCUGGCGGCAGGCCUAACACAUGCAAGUCGAGCGCCCUUUCGGGGGAGCGGCGGACGGGUGAGUAACGCGUGGGAAUAUGCCCUUCUCUACGGAAUAGCCUCGGGAAACUGAGAGUAAUACCGUAUACGCCCUGUGGGGGAAAGAUUUAUCGGGGAAGGAUUAGCCCGCGUUGGAUUAGGUAGUUGGUGGGGUAAUGGCCUACCAAGCCGACGAUCCAUAGCUGGUUUGAGAGGAUGAUCAGCCACACUGGGACUGAGACACGGCCCAGACUCCUACGGGAGGCAGCAGUGGGGAAUCUUAGACAAUGGGGGCAACCCUGAUCUAGCCAUGCCGCGGGAGUGAUGAAGGCCUUAGGGUUGUAAAGCUCUUUCAGCUGGGAAGAUAAUGACGGUACCAGCAGAAGAAGCCCCGGCUAACUCCGU
RNAcentral lists this ribosomal RNA (430 nucleotides) under uncultured bacterium. Its description in RNAcentral is "partial 16S ribosomal RNA". It matches the Rfam family "Bacterial small subunit ribosomal RNA", at positions 29 to 506 of the family's 1533-position model. The record is from RNAcentral.